This 2274-nucleotide long non-coding RNA is filed under the name Brachypodium distachyon (stiff brome). RNAcentral describes it as "long non-coding RNA (BDIS_LNC001367)". Lineage: Eukaryota; Viridiplantae; Streptophyta; Magnoliopsida; Poales; Poaceae. The record is from RNAcentral.
GACAACAACCUGCUGGGCAAGUUCGAGCUCUCCGGCAUCCCCCCGGCGCCCCGUGGCGUGCCCCAGAUCACCGUCACCUUCGACAUCGACGCCAACGGCAUCCUCAACGUGUCCGCGGAGGACAAGACCACGGGGCAGAAGAACAAGAUCACCAUCACCAACGACAAGGGGCGGCUGAGCAAGGAGGAGAUCGAGCGGAUGGUGCAGGAGGCCGAGAAGUACAAGUCGGAGGACGAGCAGGUGAGGCAGAAGGUGGAGGCCCGCAACGCGCUGGAGAACUACGCCUACAACAUGCGCAACACGGUCAAGGACGACAAGAUCGCGUCCAAGCUGCCCGCCGAGGACAAGAAGAAGAUCGAGGACUCCAUCGAGGACGCCAUCAGGUGGCUCGACGGGAACCAGCUCGCCGAGGCCGAGGAGUUCGAGGACAAGAUGAAGGAGCUGGAGAACAUCUGCAACCCCCUCAUUUCCAAGAUGUACCAGGGCGGCCCGGCCGGCAUGGACGAGGACGUGCCCAGUGGCGGCGCCGGCGCCGGCACCGGUGGUGGGAGCGGCGGCGCCGGGCCUAAGAUCGAAGAGGUGGACUAAGCGAGUCGUGACAGACAGGUCUUUCUUCAGCUGGUCGUUGUGCCGCAUUCAGUGUUCUGGUGUCUUACCUGAGUUUAUGCUGUUAUGGUCGAAUAAUGCAAGUGCUUGUGUAGAGGUUCAUUAGGUUUAGUAAGCAAUAUGUACUGGGUUACUAGAAGAAAUAAUUUGUGAAAUCAAUGUGUUCUUGUAAUUCCUUGCCCUAUGCUCUGGAUAAACGGAUACAUUGUUCUUCUCUCUCACUUCAGUACCAUGCUGUCAUUCUCACUUCUAUGGUUGUACCCCGCCAGAAUCGGAAAACUUCAAAAGCAGAGAUGAUGGUUCAUUUUCAGACAGAACUCUGGGGAACCCAUUUCAUUUUCAGAGAAAACUCUAGGAAACGGGAAAUGUUCCAUGUUUGUACUACAACCAUCAAAGUAUCAACAAGGAACAAUUAUUAACUGAGGUACCUUCUACUGAGAGCAGCUGCAUCCCCGGUUCUUCUCCUCCAUCAUUUUUUUCUGUUGAUGAACAGGGUCAGUCCUCCGGCUCCAUUUUAUAAAAGGGAUUCCCUUUAUAAAAUGAAACCAAAAUGGAGCGGAGACUGAACCAGAAGGUUUCAUACUCUACAAUAAAAUUCAGGUAAUAAAAACUACUGACACACCAGUGUUUUAGACGAUGAAGUUCAGGUAAAAAAAACUACUGACAGACCAGUUAAAAACUAAAGACAUAGCGCUCCUACAAAACUCCCAGGCAGCUAUCUUCCGGCAGCUCUUUUUCCGGCACCAGUUUACUUCGUGCACCAAUGUUCUCCAUCAUUCUUCAUGCAUUUAUGAUUUAUCUAUCUUUGCUUAACCUGUCUUCAGCUGCAUCCAGUAUGAGCUCCUCGCCGACGUAAUCAGACAGUCCGUAGAACUAAGCGAACCACAGAUCUCCUUCAGCUUCGUCAAAAUGGAUCCAAGAAACCGCAUUGCCAUUUAGAACAGUGAAUACAGAUGUCAGUUUUUUUUUAUGGAGUGGACUAACGAGGGGCGUGCCCCACGCAAGCGUCGCCAGCGGCGCUUCCCCCCUCGUGCCCCCGCUCGCCUCGAUGCAUGUUCGCGCGCCCGAUCGCGCUCUCGCAGUUCGCCGCGCAGCCCACACAACAAGCCUGCAGCCCAAGCCCCGCAAUGCAAGCCCACUAGCAGCGCAACCCAUUUAGGCUGCAGCGUGAUGUCUAUCUUCCUAGGCUUCCUAGGCUUUGGGCCCAAUUUGCUUUAGCAUUUUUCCCUACUAAAUUGCAUCUAUUUUUCAUGCGUACAAAAUUUAAUUGAAUCUAGUACUGUACUGGGAAUUCAUCGAUAUACACGUCAAUCUCUGUAAAGUAGCAUCACUUUCAGGUAUAUCACGGAGUCAUAUUGUAGGUUUAUCUAUGCAUACUAUCCCCGGGUACCUCCGUAUUUACAAACAUAUCAGUUUCAUCUACAACUACUUGACAAGUUAUCUUCACAUACUUGCCGGUUCAUCAAUACCUAUUUACAAGUUCAUCCACACCUAAUUAUCAGGUUUCUUUCACCUACUUGCCGUUUUAACUGUGCAUACUUGACAGAUUACCUACUCCUACUUGUCAAAUUAUCUUCAUCUACUUGCUGGUUUAAUUGUACCCUAUCUACGUAUACCUGUCAUGUUACCUUCACCAAUUUUCCGGUUUAAUUGUGUCCACUUGCCAGA